CCGCCGGCGACCGGCGCACGGGUGAGUAACGCGUAUGCAACUUACCUAUCAGAGGGGGAUAACCCGGCGAAAGUCGGACUAAUACCGCAUGAAGCAGGGGCCCCGCAUGGGGAUAUUUGCUAAAGAUUCAUCGCUGAUAGAUAGGCAUGCGUUCCAUUAGGCAGUUGGCGGGGUAACGGCCCACCAAACCGACGAUGGAUAGGGGUUCUGAGAGGAAGGUCCCCCACAUUGGUACUGAGACACGGACCAAACUCCUACGGGAGGCAGCAG
Molecule: ribosomal RNA, 270 nt
Filed under: uncultured bacterium
Lineage: Bacteria
Description: partial 16S ribosomal RNA
Rfam family: Bacterial small subunit ribosomal RNA
Source: RNAcentral